Molecule: unclassified non-coding RNA, 335 nt
Filed under: soil metagenome
Description: partial contains 5.8S ribosomal RNA, internal transcribed spacer 2, and large subunit ribosomal RNA
Rfam family: 5.8S ribosomal RNA (bases 1-120)
Source: RNAcentral
GAUGAAGAACGUAGCGAAAUGCGAUAAGUAAUGUGAAUUGCAGAAUUCAGUGAAUCAUCGAAUCUUUGAACGCACAUUGCGCCCGCCAGUAUUCUGGCGGGCAUGCCUGUUCGAGCGUCAUUUCAACCAUCAAGCCCCCGGCUUGUGUUGGGGACCUGCGGCUGCCGCAGGCCCUGAAAACCAGUGGCGGGCUCGCUAGUCACUCCGAGCGUAGUAAUACAUCUCGCUCAGGGCGUGCUGCGGGUUCCGGCCGUUAAAAAGCCUUAUUUACCCAAGGUUGACCUCGGAUCAGGUAGGAAGACCCGCUGAACUUAAGCAUAUCAAUGAGCGGAGGA